GGAGGGAUAGCUCAAGUGGUAGGGUGCGUGCUUAGCAUGCACAAGGUCCUGGGUUCAGUCCCCCGUACCUCCU
Molecule: transfer RNA, 73 nt
Filed under: Camelus bactrianus (Bactrian camel)
Lineage: Eukaryota; Metazoa; Chordata; Mammalia; Artiodactyla; Camelidae
Also listed under: 2 other names
Rfam family: tRNA
About the family: Transfer RNA (tRNA) molecules are approximately 80 nucleotides in length. Their secondary structure includes four short double-helical elements and three loops (D, anti-codon, and T loops).
Source: Rfam by way of RNAcentral